This 518-nucleotide ribosomal RNA is filed under the name uncultured subdivision 3 bacterium. RNAcentral's name for it is "bacterial SSU rRNA". It matches the Rfam family "Bacterial small subunit ribosomal RNA", at positions 8 to 501 of the family's 1533-position model. The record is from RNAcentral.
AGAGUUUGAUCAUGGCUCAGAACGAACGCUGGCGGCGUGGAUAAGACAUGCAAGUCGAACGCUGAUUUGAGGGUAGCAAUAUUUUCAAGUCGGAGUGGCGAAAGGGUGCGUAACACGUGGGCAAUCUGCCAUGAAGUUGGGGAUAACUUGCUGAAAGGCGAGCUAAUACCGGAUGUGGAUCUCGGGAGGCAUCUCUUGGGAUCUAAAGUUGGGGACCGUAAGGCCUGACGCUUCAUGAUGAGCCCGCGGCCUAUCAGCUAGUUGGUGAGGUAACGGCUCACCAAGGCUAAGACGGGUAGCUGGUCUGAGAGGACGACCAGCCACACUGGAACUGAGACACGGUCCAGACACCUACGGGUGGCAGCAGUCGAGAAUUUUUCUCAAUGGGCGAAAGCCUGAAGGAGCGACGCCGCGUGGGGGAUGAAUGGCUUCGGCCCGUAAACCCCUGUCAUUUGCGAACAAACCUCGUUAUUUAAAAGAUGACGAGCUGAUGUAGCGAAAGAGAAGACGCCCCCCCC